GGCAAAACCAGUGUUUGAAAUCCCUGUCUGUUGACUAUAAACCUGGUACUUUUCACCACUGUAUUCUAUUUCCUCUUAGCAGUUCUCUGUCUUGAAUCUUAUUGUCUGCUUCUCAAAGGCCAAAGUGUAAACUUGCCUACAGAAAACAGAGAGAUUGGAGGAUUUCAGAGUAAAGAACACCGAAGACUAUGAGGCCAGGACGUGAGGAGGGUCAUCGCUAGUUUCUGGGGCCUCUGUUGGAACUUCCUGAGUGGGUGGCAACGACUCGCAAGUAGGGGAGGGGUGAGGAGGUUGGGCUUAGAUACCAGACACAGUGAUGAACAAUUUUUGUAAUUGACUCUCACGUUAGAGUGAUGAAGAAGAGACUGAUAUUAUCCUCAUUUUAAAUGUGAAAGGCUUUAGAGUCUUCUUACGGAAUUCUCUCUAAAUUGACUAGCAAAUGUGGAGCAGCUGAUUUAUAUGUUCUUAAAACGAUUAAGAAAGGCAGUAUUUCUUACCUGGUCGUAAGAAUCGUAUCAGUACUAGUUAAAAAUACUGAUGAUCAAGCCCUUUGAUUGGAGAGCCUUGUUUGGUGCUUUCACCAAAUGCCCAUGCGAAUCUUAUGGAACAGCAGCUUCCUCUAGGAGCUCCCGGGGCUUCUGUGCGGGAUUCACUUGAUUUUUGUUUACUCAGAGAAGUCCACACACAGUGAGCCCUACUAGUGCUUGGACCGUCCAUGGAUGUUCCUCUCUGAGCUCUCUUUCGUGCUUGGUCUAAGAGGUGGGACGAUAGAAACGCAUACAAGGCACCGUGAUAAGCCGUAGGCCAAAUUAACUCCACAUGCUUGGGACCACUGCAUAUUUUGCCUCCUACAGAAACAAAAGAAUGGUAUUUUUAGAUUCUGAACAAUUUUGCCAUCUAAACUGCGUCUGCUUUCAUGUCACUGCUUCAGAGAAUAGUGAUAUCUCUACUUUUAUCCUAAACUAAUUUGCCCACUUUGUCAUCACCCAUAAUCUCUGGAGUGGAUUGGCCAUUAUGUGAAGAGUGACAGAAGAAUGUGAAAGGAGACUCGAAAGGCAAUGGAAAGUAUUGGAUCUUUGCACUGCUCUUUAUUCUAACACCCGAAUAGAAAAGAUGGAAGAAAUCAAAGGACUGCAUUUAUCCUGGGAAAAAGUUGGAAGAGCAAUUGUCCUUUACAUGAAAGCUUUUGUUACUUUUAUGCUUCUCUUAUUACUAGAAGGUAUUUUUAUGUGUGAUCAUCAAAAGUGGUAAAGUAUAGGACAAUGGCAGAAAAUUCAUUUUAUAAUUAUCCUUUGGUAAAAUAGCUUUUUUGCUCACUUGAAUUGGAAGAAUGAGCAGACAUCAUAAAGACUGUGAACUGUUUGAUGCCAUAAAAUUUCUCUUCUUUUAUAAUUUCCUUUUACAAUUUCUUGAUAAUGUCUAGUAGAAAUUUUAAUGCUGUAUUUAUAACUAUCUAAACAUGGAAUUGAAACAAAAUAAGGAAUCCCAGAAUGUGCUUAUUAAUAUACAUAGAAAACUUUAAUUCCAAUUAAAAAUACUACUUCCUAACCACAGUGAAGUAUCACCUGACACCUGUGAGAAUGGCCAUUAUCAAAAAGGCAAGAGAUAACAAGUAUUCUUGAGGAUGUGGCGGAAAGGGAACCCUUGUACACUGUUGGUGGGAAUGUAGUAAAUUGGUAACAGUAACUAUGGAAAAAAGCAUGGAGGUGCCUCAAAAAGUUAAAAAUAGAGC
RNAcentral lists this long non-coding RNA (1732 nucleotides) under Equus asinus (donkey). RNAcentral describes it as "lncRNA (ENSEASG00005027407.1)". Lineage: Eukaryota; Metazoa; Chordata; Mammalia; Perissodactyla; Equidae. The record is from RNAcentral.